Molecule: transfer RNA, 69 nt
Filed under: Salmonella enterica subsp. enterica serovar Heidelberg
Lineage: Bacteria; Pseudomonadati; Pseudomonadota; Gammaproteobacteria; Enterobacterales; Enterobacteriaceae
Description: tRNA-Gln
Source: RNAcentral
GGGGUAUCGCCAAGCGGUAAGGCACCGGUUUUUGAUACCGGCAUUCCCUGGUUCGAUGGGGUAUCGCCA